UUUAUUUCAUCUUAGAUCCAUGAUGCAUCAUGGUCCAUCUAAUAAUUUCUCCUCAAGAUGACCAGUAGUAGUAAAAACCAUAAGUUUUGCAACAUGACUGCUAUGCGUUAGCAAGAGCUUCCAAGGUGAGGGACUACUUACACGCACUGGCUCUUGUCAGCGCAGUCGCAGUCGCCGCAGGUCGACAUGGUGCGUCGCUAAAAAGGAGAGGAGGGACGAAGGGAUGGCAGGUGACUCGAGAGAAGGUUUGCUGGGUCUGGCUGUGAGGAAAGAGGCUUGGGUGCCGCCCAUAUUUAUAGGCGUUUUCAAGGAUGAGGAAAGCGAGGGUGGGGCUUAAACGGAUAACUGACGCUACAGUGGCGGCACGCGCCUCGACCAAACUAUCCAAAUGGAAUCUCAAUAAUGGAG
RNAcentral lists this long non-coding RNA (408 nucleotides) under Elaeis guineensis (African oil palm). RNAcentral describes it as "long non-coding RNA (EGUI_LNC075479)". Lineage: Eukaryota; Viridiplantae; Streptophyta; Magnoliopsida; Arecales; Arecaceae. The record is from RNAcentral.